GCCCCCGUAGCUCAGGGGAUAGAGCGUCGGUUUCCUAAACCGUGCGUCGCAGGUUCGAAUCCUGCCGGGGGCGC
This 74-nucleotide transfer RNA is filed under the name Candidatus Neomicrothrix sp. UBA7388. RNAcentral's name for it is "Candidatus Microthrix sp. UBA7388 tRNA-Arg(cct)". It matches the Rfam family "tRNA". From Rfam's summary of the family: Transfer RNA (tRNA) molecules are approximately 80 nucleotides in length. Their secondary structure includes four short double-helical elements and three loops (D, anti-codon, and T loops). Further hydrogen bonds mediate the characteristic L-shaped molecular structure. tRNAs have two regions of fundamental functional importance: the anti-codon, which is responsible for specific mRNA codon recognition, and the 3' end, to which the tRNAs corresponding amino acid is attached (by aminoacyl-tRNA synthetases). tRNAs cope with the degeneracy of the genetic code in two manners: having more than one tRNA (with a specific anti-codon) for a particular amino acid; and 'wobble' base-pairing, i.e. permitting non-standard base-pairing at the 3rd anti-codon position. Lineage: Bacteria; Bacillati; Actinomycetota; Acidimicrobiia; Acidimicrobiales; Microthrixaceae. The record is from RNAcentral.